CAGCCGCCGCGGGAAUACAGAGGGUGCAAGCGUUAAUCGGAAUUACUGGGCGUAAAGCGCGCGUAGGUGGUUUGUUAAGUUGGAUGUGAAAGCCCCGGGCUCAACCUGGGAACUGCAUCCAAAACUGGCAAGCUAGAGUACGGUAGAGGGUGGUGGAAUUUCCUGUGUAGCGGUGAAAUGCGUAGAUAUAGGAAGGAACACCAGUGGCGAAGGCGACCACCUGGACUGAUACUGACACUGAGGUGCGAAAGCGUGGGGAGCAAACAGGAUUAGAUACCCGUGUAGUCCCUGUCUCUUAUAC
RNAcentral lists this ribosomal RNA (301 nucleotides) under uncultured bacterium. RNAcentral's name for it is "partial 16S ribosomal RNA". It matches the Rfam family "Bacterial small subunit ribosomal RNA", at positions 509 to 807 of the family's 1533-position model. The record is from RNAcentral.